UACAUGUUUAGCCUGAGAAAGGUACAAGACUAAGUUCUAGUGUGUAAACUGGACUUGAAUAUUUUUGUUACUGGAGUGAAUGCUGGGGUGAGUUCAGCAGUGCACAUGCGCAGUACAGAAGUGCGGGAAGCUUCCAGAAACCCUGUGGACUUACACAUUGGAAAAAGCUAAUCUUCUCUAAAGACUAAUGAUGUUGUUGCCAUGAGGACUGCUGUCCUGCGAUGUCUCUCGGUUUUCCUCGGAGGUGAUGAAAGAGACUUCUACAAUGCCUCUUUUGAUUCAGAUGCCAUGGCAGACUUCACCCAGGUUCCUGUGGGAUUAUUGCCUGUUUUUCCUGAAGUCAGUCAGCAACCAGGUCCGAAUGCUCUUCACCUUGAACCAUCCAGCAUGUUAUCAUUCUGGAAGGUACAAUUGUCAUGGUUGACACUGAUCAUGCUGUUUGCCUCAUAUUUGGACUGACCUGUGCCCUCCAUCCUGACUGUUCAAAAUGCCUAAAAAACACCUUUGACUUCAUUCAGAGGCUGAUGCUCAGUCUGGUUUCUUUUUUU
Archocentrus centrarchus (flier cichlid) is the source of this 548-nucleotide long non-coding RNA. RefSeq lists it as uncharacterized. The transcript has 3 exons. NCBI's taxonomy places the organism in Eukaryota, Metazoa, Chordata, Actinopteri, Cichliformes, Cichlidae. The record is from RefSeq and is a predicted model, not a curated record.